RNAcentral lists this ribosomal RNA (157 nucleotides) under Microsphaeropsis amaranthi. RNAcentral describes it as "5.8S ribosomal RNA". It matches the Rfam family "5.8S ribosomal RNA". From Rfam's summary of the family: 5.8S ribosomal RNA (5.8S rRNA) is a component of the large subunit of the eukaryotic ribosome. It is transcribed by RNA polymerase I as part of the 45S precursor that also contains 18S and 28S rRNA. RNAcentral also lists the same sequence under 5 other names. The record is from RNAcentral. Lineage: Eukaryota; Fungi; Ascomycota; Dothideomycetes; Pleosporales; Didymellaceae.
UUUCAACAACGGAUCUCUUGGUUCUGGCAUCGAUGAAGAACGCAGCGAAAUGCGAUAAGUAGUGUGAAUUGCAGAAUUCAGUGAAUCAUCGAAUCUUUGAACGCACAUUGCGCCCCUUGGUAUUCCAUGGGGCAUGCCUGUUCGAGCGUCAUUUGUA